Molecule: ribosomal RNA, 480 nt
Filed under: uncultured bacterium
Lineage: Bacteria
Description: partial 16S ribosomal RNA
Rfam family: Bacterial small subunit ribosomal RNA
Source: RNAcentral
GACGAACGCUGGCGCCGUGCUUAACACAUGCAAGUCGAACGAUGAAGUUCCUUCGGGAAUGGAUUAGUGGCGAACGGGUGAGGAACACGUGAGAAACCUGCCUUUCAUUUUGGGAUAACUCCGGGAAACCGGGGCUAACACCGAAUACUCCGUCUCGGCGGCAUCGCUGAGCCGGGAAAAAAUUUUGAUGAAAGAUGGUCUCGCGGCCUAUCAGCUAGUUGGUGAGGUAAUGGCUCACCAAGGCAACGACGGGUAGCCGGCCUGAGAGGGCGACCGGCCACACUGGGACUGAGACACGGCCCAGACUCCUACGGGAGGCAGCAGUGGGGAAUAUUGGGCAAUGGGCGCAAGCCUGACCCAGCGACGCCGCGUGAGGGAUGAAGGCCUUCGGGUUGUAAACCUCUUUCAGUAGGGAGGAAGCGAAAGUGACGGUACCUAAAGAAGAAGCACCGGCUAACUAUGUGCCAGCAGCCGCCGCGG